This 119-nucleotide ribosomal RNA is filed under the name Pteropus alecto (black flying fox). The record is from RNAcentral. Lineage: Eukaryota; Metazoa; Chordata; Mammalia; Chiroptera; Pteropodidae.
GUCUACAGCCAUGCUACCCUGAAGAACCCUGAUACUGUCUGAUCUCAGAAGCUAAACAGGGUCGGGCCUGGUUAGUACUUGGAUGGGAGACCACCUAGGAAGACCAGGUGCUGUAGGAG